This is a long non-coding RNA of Octopus sinensis (East Asian common octopus), 102 nucleotides long. RefSeq lists it as uncharacterized. NCBI's taxonomy places the organism in Eukaryota, Metazoa, Mollusca, Cephalopoda, Octopoda, Octopodidae. The record is from RefSeq and is a predicted model, not a curated record. The transcript has 3 exons.
UUGCUCGCUCCAGCGCCAUCCAUUUUCGGGGCCGGUCGAUUCGGCAGGUAAGUUGUUACACACUCCUGAGCGAAUUUCCGACUUCCAAUAACCACCAUCAGU